GCACUGUUGACGAGUCCCAAAACAGAACGAAACGGCCGUCCAGUGC
Molecule: non-coding RNA, 46 nt
Organism: Schistosoma curassoni
Lineage: Eukaryota; Metazoa; Platyhelminthes; Trematoda; Strigeidida; Schistosomatidae
Source: Rfam